GCUGUGGCUGAGCUAACGAUGGCGGCCGUCCGCCAUUAUCAAGUUGAAUGAAGAAACACGAGCCGCUACACUCUGAAGCAGCUUUGCAACAAAGACUGGAGCAGGACUUUUCACAGUGCCCUUCCUUCUCCCUUAUGUGUGUGUGUGUUGUCAUUCCCAGUCUGUAUUAUUCCUCCUGUGUCUCUCCCCCUGUCUGUUCUGUGUGUGUGCAUGUGGGCGUGGUCUCCUUCCACAGGCAGCGCCAGGUGAAUCAACUCCAGUAAUCAACCUCUCCAUAAAGCCUCUGGACUCCCUCCUACUCGUCGCCAGAUCGUUUCAUCAGUCUACGUGAUUGCUGUGCUUGCCUCGUGAUCUCGUGUGUGCUUCUUCCCUGCCUGCCUGUGGACCUGCCUGCCCGUCGUCUGCUCUCCUGUGUUUCCCCUCUGAGUGAGUACGCUCGAGAUGACGUUCCCCACUGCGCCGUGCCACAGCACCGCCAUUACCACGUGGCAGACGCCACAUCAAAGACACUCUCACUCUCUUCCUCACUGGUGACUUCACAAGACACGUCUGGAUCCUGGGACUACGCACAUCCCCUCCCCCUUGCACUUGCCUGCACAUUUGAACAUUAAAGACUUGUU
Epinephelus moara (kelp grouper) is the source of this 620-nucleotide long non-coding RNA. RefSeq lists it as uncharacterized. The transcript is spliced from 3 exons. NCBI's taxonomy places the organism in Eukaryota, Metazoa, Chordata, Actinopteri, Perciformes, Serranidae. The record is from RefSeq and is a predicted model, not a curated record.